CCCGCCCUUCUGCUUCGCACGCAUGCGUACCACGUCACGCAGGCAGUGCCGGUUCCUAGGGAGAGGAGUGCUGUCGCUGCCGAUUGUGUAGCGUCUCGGGUGGGCCGAGAGAAAACAAACAUCCUUCGCUUGUCACUUGGGGCUGCGAACUGAGAUGUAAUUCGGCAGAUCCUUCAUGAUGAUCGAUAAAAGCAUUUAUAUUGUGCAAGGUGAAAUAAAUAGUGUCGUUGGUGCUAUAAAGCGAAAUUCAAGAUGGACCACUCAUACUCCAUUGGAGGAAGAGCAAGAUCUACUUCUAAAUAGUUUCAAUCAUCUCAAGGAUAUCUUGAACAAUAUAACAGG
Molecule: long non-coding RNA, 342 nt
Organism: Rhincodon typus (whale shark)
Lineage: Eukaryota; Metazoa; Chordata; Chondrichthyes; Orectolobiformes; Rhincodontidae
Exons: 3
Source: RefSeq, a predicted model, not a curated record